CCUGGCUCGGAGAAGAGUCCUGGGCUGUGAGGGGUCGGCGGGGGCGAGAAGGGGGCGGGUCCUGAGCUUUCCUCCAUCUCGCUCUCUGCGCCUUUUUUCCGGGUUUUGGAGGCGAAAGCCGCCAGUGAGGCUGGAGCAGCUCAGCAGUCAUUGAAAUAGUACCUCCCUGAGAAGUCAACGUGAGGCGGUGAUUGGAUCCAGGAAAGCUCCUUGCUAUUGAAAUUAAUUUUAGCAAUUUAUGUCCAAAAUCUGGAAGUUGUCAAGGGAAGGAAUGCAAACUAGAAUGCGAAAUACAAAGCCCUGCCUCAGCCAGACCUCCAAUUUCAUGCUGACGGCCCACAGGACAGAAUAGAAAUCCUCUCCCUUUCUAUUCUCCAUUCACUGGGGUGGGAGAAUCCACCCUGUGCUCAGCUCCAGGGACUUCCCUAGAGCCACCGCCUGGGGUGCGGAGCGGAGGCCUCACGCCAGGGAGGAGUGAGGUCACCACCUCCUGCUUAAACACAGCAGGGAUGCGGGCGAGGUGGCAAGUCUGGGGUCCCGGCUACUCAGGAAGCAGGGGCGGCAAGACAGCUGAGCCUGGAGGUCCAGGCCAGCCUGGGCGACAAAGAGUGAUCUCAGACUGAAGACCUUGCCACCCUGAUGACAUUUGUAAGAUUUCUGUCCAGUAUGGAUUCUCUGAUGUCUAAUGAGGUGUGAACGUGAAGUAAAGGCUUUGCUCACAAUCAUCACACUUGCGAGGUUUCUCUCCUGUAUGAAUUCUCCUGUUUUGCAUAGUAUGAAGCUUGACUGAAGACCUUGCCUCAAUCAUGACAUUUGUAAGGUUUCUCUCCAAUAUGAGUUCACCCAUGAACUACAGCAUAUGAACAAUGUCUGAAAAUUUUGCCACAUUUACUGCACUUGUAAGAUCUCUAUUCAUUAUGGAUUCUUCAAUGAUUUGCAAUGGUUGUAGCGUUACUGAAGACUUGGUGACAAUCGUUACAUUAGUCAAGUUUCCCUACACCAUGGAUUGCCUGAUGGUGAAUAAGUGUUGACUGUGCACGAAAGGCUUUGCCACACUCACUACACUUGAAAGGUUUCUCUCCAGUAUGAAUUCUAGUAUGUUGUGCCAGGUGUGAGUAACACUUGAAAGCCUUGUCACAAACCUUACAUUUGUAUGGUUUCUCUCCAGUGUGAACUCUCUGAUGUUGUGCAAGGUAUGAAUCACGCCCAAAAGCCUUGUCGCAAACCCUACAUUUGUAUGGUUUCUCUCCAGUAUGAACUCUCCUAUGUAUUUCAAGGAGUGAUUUGAAAUUGAAAACUUUGUCACAUUCUUCACAUUUGUAAGGUUUCUCUCCAGUAUGAAGUCUAUGAUGACAUGCAAGUUGUGACUGUGUCCUAAAAACCUUGCCACAUUCAUUACACUUGUAAGGUUUCUCUCCAGUAUGAAGUCUAUGAUGAUAUGCAAGGCUUGAUUUGUGAUUAAAACUUUUGCCACAUUCA
Molecule: long non-coding RNA, 1479 nt
Organism: Pan troglodytes (chimpanzee)
Lineage: Eukaryota; Metazoa; Chordata; Mammalia; Primates; Hominidae
Exons: 2
Source: RefSeq, a predicted model, not a curated record